RNAcentral lists this long non-coding RNA (664 nucleotides) under Homo sapiens (human). Its description in RNAcentral is "non-protein coding lnc-SOBP-3:1". Lineage: Eukaryota; Metazoa; Chordata; Mammalia; Primates; Hominidae. The record is from RNAcentral.
AGCAAAGGUCGUCAGUGACAGGGAUCAGUUGUGGGCGGCGAGUGGUCCCUCUGCACACGGUAUCUGGGCCGAGUCUGGAUUCAUUAGAGUCCCCGGCGCCCAGCACUGAGUGGCAUGCAUAAGUAUUGGUGUCACGAACAACGGUCAGCCCCCGGCUUGCCCGCAAGGAAGGGCGUCGGGCGGAGGCACCAGUUCCUCCCGGAAGCUUUUUGUCGCUAUCGCCACCAGCCCCUGGCAGUGGCAGUGGCCGUGGCCGGGCGUGAAGGCGGCCUCUCGGGCUGCAUGCCUCCUGGAGCUGGGGCCACGUCUCAGUGGUGGAACGCCUAGUCGGGGCGUGGGGCUGAGCCCUCGUGUCCUCAGGGCCCAACCAGACAUAAGGCAGCGUGGUGCGGCGGAAAGGGGUCCCAAGGAAAGUCCUCGGAUCCAACUUCGAAUUACCGGCCUCCUCGCUGAGCCUUGGGAGAAACAGCGGUGCCUCCUUCCCGCGGGUGCGGAGAGGAAGAAUGAAACGUUGCCUACUCCCUGCCUCUUAUCUUCCUCUUUAUGCCUAGCCUGGAGCUCAACUCCAGGAUUGAAGACUAUCGCUGACCGGAGUGCUUUUCACGUACUAGUUCAUGUAUUACUUUAUUUAAUCCUCAGAACAACCUCAUUAAGUAGAUAAUAU